AUGUGCAAUGGUUGGAUAUUUAGUUCAGAUUGUAAAGUAUCAUUAUGAUAAAUAAACUAAUCCUACCCAGUUUAAAGCUUAUAAAAAAUACCUCAAAACUUUCCUUUCAAUGUCACCAAUUUUAUUUACAUGAACUUGAUUAUAAGGGUUGCAUGUUGGAAUUUAGUUUAAAGGUGAGGGAGUAGCAGAUUAGGGACAGUCAAUCAAACCUCGGUAUUAAAAAAUGAAUUGAUUUUAACAUCAAGCCUAAGAAGAAAUUUAGUAGUGUUAUGAAGCAAAACUGAUUUCUUGCAGUUGUACAUUUCAAUGUGUUUGUUCAUUUGUAUUAAUUUAAUUUUUUAUUGACUAUUUUAAUUUUAUAUGCACCGAUAUAUCUAUUCUUUUUUUUAGAUUAAAGUAUUAAUAUGUUAACCCUC
Molecule: long non-coding RNA, 416 nt
Organism: Anthonomus grandis grandis
Lineage: Eukaryota; Metazoa; Arthropoda; Insecta; Coleoptera; Curculionidae
Exons: 2
Source: RefSeq, a predicted model, not a curated record